CGGGGAGUAGCGCAGCCUGGUAGCGCAUCUCGUUUGGGACGAGAGGGUCGCAGGUUCGAAUCCUGUCUCCCCGACCA
This 77-nucleotide transfer RNA is filed under the name Bdellovibrionales bacterium. Its description in RNAcentral is "tRNA-Pro". It matches the Rfam family "tRNA". Rfam says of the family: Transfer RNA (tRNA) molecules are approximately 80 nucleotides in length. Their secondary structure includes four short double-helical elements and three loops (D, anti-codon, and T loops). Lineage: Bacteria; Pseudomonadati; Bdellovibrionota; Bdellovibrionia; Bdellovibrionales. The record is from RNAcentral.